AAGUAAAGUGGUUUAAAUAAAAUAUAAGAUUGUCAUUCUUGAGAUGCAUGUUGAUGUUUUUACUUU
RNAcentral lists this transfer RNA (66 nucleotides) under Dosinia troscheli. RNAcentral describes it as "tRNA-Asp". It matches the Rfam family "tRNA". From Rfam's summary of the family: Transfer RNA (tRNA) molecules are approximately 80 nucleotides in length. The record is from RNAcentral. Lineage: Eukaryota; Metazoa; Mollusca; Bivalvia; Venerida; Veneridae.